GCCUCGACGAUCUGCGACGGCGAGAUCAGGUGCACGUGGGUGUCGAUGCCGCCCGCGGUGAGGAUCUUGCCCUCGCCGGAGAUGAUGUCGGUGGACGGCCCGAUCUGCAGGUCCGGGUGCACCCCGUCGGCGAUGUCCGGGUUGCCGGCCCGGCCGAUGGCCACGAUCCGGCCGUCCCGGAUGCCGACGUCGGCCCGGACGAUGCCCCAGUGGUCCAGGAUGAUCGCGUUGGUGAUGACCGUGUCCGGGGCACCCUGCGCCCGGGUGGUGCUGCCCUGGGCCAUGGAUUCCCGGAU
Molecule: small RNA, 296 nt
Filed under: Nakamurella multipartita DSM 44233
Lineage: Bacteria; Bacillati; Actinomycetota; Actinomycetes; Nakamurellales; Nakamurellaceae
Description: 5' ureB small RNA
Rfam family: 5' ureB small RNA
Source: Rfam by way of RNAcentral